Molecule: ribosomal RNA, 251 nt
Filed under: uncultured prokaryote
Description: partial 16S rRNA
Rfam family: Bacterial small subunit ribosomal RNA
Source: RNAcentral
ACGUAGGGGGCAAGCGUUACUCGGAAUUACUGGGCGUAAAGGGUGUGUAGGUUGCUCGUUAAGUCAAGGAUGAAAUCCCGAGGCUCAACUUCGGAAUGGUCCUUGAUACUGGCGGGCUUGAGGCUAGUUGAGGAGAGCGGAAUUCCCGGUGGAGCGGUGAAAUGCGUAGAUAUCGGGAGGAACACCUGAGGCGAAGGCGGUUCUCUAAACUAGUCCUGACACUGAAACACGAAAGCCAGGGGAGCAAACGG